UUCGACUUCAAGUAUACCGCGGUAAGAGAGAAGGAUUUUUCGAUGUAUCACCAGUCAUACUCAGUCAAACGAUAAUUACGAGAAACUUAAAAAGUAAUCGAGGAUAUCUAAAAAAUC
Molecule: long non-coding RNA, 117 nt
Organism: Cotesia glomerata
Lineage: Eukaryota; Metazoa; Arthropoda; Insecta; Hymenoptera; Braconidae
Exons: 3
Source: RefSeq, a predicted model, not a curated record